UACGGAUGGGGCUAGCGUUGUUCGGAAUUACUGGGCGUAAAGCGCACGUAUGCGGCUUUGCAAGUUAGAGGUGAAAGCCCGGGGCUCAACUCCGGAAUUGCCUUUAAAACUGCAUCGCUAGAAUUGUGGAGAGGUAAGUGGAAUUCCGAGUGUAGAGGUGAAAUUCGUAGAUAUUCGGAAGAACACCAGUGGCGAAGGCGACUUACUGGACACAUAUUGACGCUGAGGUGCGAAAGCGUGGGGAGCAAAAAGG
RNAcentral lists this ribosomal RNA (253 nucleotides) under uncultured bacterium. Its description in RNAcentral is "partial 16S ribosomal RNA". It matches the Rfam family "Bacterial small subunit ribosomal RNA", at positions 524 to 776 of the family's 1533-position model. The record is from RNAcentral.